UUAAGCGACUAAGCGUACACGGUGGAUGCCCUGGCAGUCAGAGGCGAUGAAGGACGUGCUAAUCUGCGAUAAGCGUCGGUAAGGUGAUAUGAACCGUUAUAACCGGCGAUUUCCGAAUGGGGAAACCCAGUGUGUUUCGACACACUAUCAUUAACUGAAUCCAUAGGUUAAUGAGGCGAACCGGGGGAACUGAAACAUCUAAGUACCCCGAGGAAAAGAAAUCAACCGAGAUUCCCCCAGUAGCGGCGAGCGAACGGGGAGCAGCCCAGAGCCUGAAUCAGUGUGUGUGUUAGUGGAAGCGUCUGGAAAGGCGCGCGAUACAGGGUGACAGCCCCGUACACAAAAAUGCACAUGCUGUGAGCUCGAUGAGUAGGGCGGGACACGUGGUAUCCUGUCUGAAUAUGGGGGGACCAUCCUCCAAGGCUAAAUACUCCUGACUGACCGAUAGUGAACCAGUACCGUGAGGGAAAGGCGAAAAGAACCCCGGCGAGGGGAGUGAAAAAGAACCUGAAACCGUGUACGUACAAGCAGUGGGAGCACGCUUAGGCGUGUGACUGCGUACCUUUUGUAUAAUGGGUCAGCGACUUAUAUUCUGUAGCAAGGUUAACCGAAUAGGGGAGCCGAAGGGAAACCGAGUCUUAACUGGGCGUUAAGUUGCAGGGUAUAGACCCGAAACCCGGUGAUCUAGCCAUGGGCAGGUUGAAGGUUGGGUAACACUAACUGGAGGACCGAACCGACUAAUGUUGAAAAAUUAGCGGAUGACUUGUGGCUGGGGGUGAAAGGCCAAUCAAACCGGGAGAUAGCUGGUUCUCCCCGAAAGCUAUUUAGGUAGCGCCUCGUGAAUUCAUCUCCGGGGGUAGAGCACUGUUUCGGCAAGGGGGUCAUCCCGACUUACCAACCCGAUGCAAACUGCGAAUACCGGAGAAUGUUAUCACGGGAGACACACGGCGGGUGCUAACGUCCGUCGUGAAGAGGGAAACAACCCAGACCGCCAGCUAAGGUCCCAAAGUCAUGGUUAAGUGGGAAACGAUGUGGGAAGGCCCAGACAGCCAGGAUGUUGGCUUAGAAGCAGCCAUCAUUUAAAGAAAGCGUAAUAGCUCACUGGUCGAGUCGGCCUGCGCGGAAGAUGUAACGGGGCUAAACCAUGCACCGAAGCUGCGGCAGCGACGCUUAUGCGUUGUUGGGUAGGGGAGCGUUCUGUAAGCCUGUGAAGGUGUGCUGUGAGGCAUGCUGGAGGUAUCAGAAGUGCGAAUGCUGACAUAAGUAACGAUAAAGCGGGUGAAAAGCCCGCUCGCCGGAAGACCAAGGGUUCCUGUCCAACGUUAAUCGGGGCAGGGUGAGUCGACCCCUAAGGCGAGGCCGAAAGGCGUAGUCGAUGGGAAACAGGUUAAUAUUCCUGUACUUGGUGUUACUGCGAAGGGGGGACGGAGAAGGCUAUGUUGGCCGGGCGACGGUUGUCCCGGUUUAAGCGUGUAGGCUGGUUUUCCAGGCAAAUCCGGAAAAUCAAGGCUGAGGCGUGAUGACGAGGCACUACGGUGCUGAAGCAACAAAUGCCCUGCUUCCAGGAAAAGCCUCUAAGCAUCAGGUAACAUCAAAUCGUACCCCAAACCGACACAGGUGGUCAGGUAGAGAAUACCAAGGCGCUUGAGAGAACUCGGGUGAAGGAACUAGGCAAAAUGGUGCCGUAACUUCGGGAGAAGGCACGCUGAUAUGUAGGUGAAGUCCCUCGCGGAUGGAGCUGAAAUCAGUCGAAGAUACCAGCUGGCUGCAACUGUUUAUUAAAAACACAGCACUGUGCAAACACGAAAGUGGACGUAUACGGUGUGACGCCUGCCCGGUGCCGGAAGGUUAAUUGAUGGGGUUAGCGCAAGCGAAGCUCUUGAUCGAAGCCCCGGUAAACGGCGGCCGUAACUAUAACGGUCCUAAGGUAGCGAAAUUCCUUGUCGGGUAAGUUCCGACCUGCACGAAUGGCGUAAUGAUGGCCAGGCUGUCUCCACCCGAGACUCAGUGAAAUUGAACUCGCUGUGAAGAUGCAGUGUACCCGCGGCAAGACGGAAAGACCCCGUGAACCUUUACUAUAGCUUGACACUGAACAUUGAGCCUUGAUGUGUAGGAUAGGUGGGAGGCUUUGAAGUGUGGACGCCAGUCUGCAUGGAGCCGACCUUGAAAUACCACCCUUUAAUGUUUGAUGUUCUAACGUGGACCCGUGAUCCGGGUUGCGGACAGUGUCUGGUGGGUAGUUUGACUGGGGCGGUCUCCUCCUAAAGAGUAACGGAGGAGCACGAAGGUUGGCUAAUCCUGGUCGGACAUCAGGAGGUUAGUGCAAUGGCAUAAGCCAGCUUGACUGCGAGCGUGACGGCGCGAGCAGGUGCGAAAGCAGGUCAUAGUGAUCCGGUGGUUCUGAAUGGAAGGGCCAUCGCUCAACGGAUAAAAGGUACUCCGGGGAUAACAGGCUGAUACCGCCCAAGAGUUCAUAUCGACGGCGGUGUUUGGCACCUCGAUGUCGGCUCAUCACAUCCUGGGGCUGAAGUAGGUCCCAAGGGUAUGGCUGUUCGCCAUUUAAAGUGGUACGCGAGCUGGGUUUAGAACGUCGUGAGACAGUUCGGUCCCUAUCUGCCGUGGGCGCUGGAGAACUGAGGGGGGCUGCUCCUAGUACGAGAGGACCGGAGUGGACGCAUCACUGGUGUUCGGGUUGUCAUGCCAAUGGCACUGCCCGGUAGCUAAAUGCGGAAGAGAUAAGUGCUGAAAGCAUCUAAGCACGAAACUUGCCCCGAGAUGAGUUCUCCCUGACCCUUUAAGGGUCCUGAAGGAACGUUGAAGACGACGACGUUGAUAGGCCGGGUGUGUAAGCGCAGCGAUGCGUUGAGCUAACCGGUACUAAUGAACCGUGAGGCUUAACCUU
Molecule: ribosomal RNA, 2902 nt
Filed under: Escherichia coli
Lineage: Bacteria; Pseudomonadati; Pseudomonadota; Gammaproteobacteria; Enterobacterales; Enterobacteriaceae
Description: 23S ribosomal RNA
Rfam family: Bacterial large subunit ribosomal RNA
Source: RNAcentral